ACGGGGGUUGCGAGCGUUGUCCGGAAUUACUAGGCGUAAAGGGCAGGCAGGCGGAUCCAUAAGUUUUUCGUUUAAGGCGUCAGCUUAACUGGCGUACGGCGGGAGAUACUGUGGAUCUGGAAUGCGGUUGGGGAAGACAGAAUUCCUGGUGUAGCGGUGUAAUGCGCAGAUAUCAGGAGGAAUACCGAAGGCGAAGGCAGUUUUACGAGCCGUCAUUGACGCUGAAGUGCGAAGGUGUGGGUAUCGAACAG
Molecule: ribosomal RNA, 251 nt
Filed under: uncultured prokaryote
Description: partial 16S rRNA
Rfam family: Bacterial small subunit ribosomal RNA
Source: RNAcentral